AGUGAACGCUGGCGGUAGGCCUAACACAUGCAAGUCGAACGGCAGCACAGUAAGAGCUUGCUCUUACGGGUGGCGAGUGGCGGACGGGUGAGGAAUACAUCGGAAUCUACUUUUUCGUGGGGGAUAACGUAGGGAAACUUACGCUAAUACCGCAUACGACCUACGGGUGAAAGCAGGGGAUCUUCGGACCUUGCGCGAUUGUAUGAGCCGAUGUCGGAUUAGCUAGUUGGCGGGGUAAAGGCCCACCAAGGCGGCGAUCCGUAGCUGGUCUGAGAGGAUGAUCAGCCACACUGGAACUGAGACACGGUCCAGACUCCUACGGGAGGCAGCAGUGGGGAAUAUUGGACGAUGGGCGCAAGCCUAAUCCAGCCAUACCGCGUGAGUGAAGAAGGCCUUCGGGUGGUAAAGCCCUUUUGUUGGGAAAGAAAAGCAGCAGGUUAAUACCCCGCUGUUCUGACGGUACCCAAAGAAUAAGCACCGGCUAACUUCGUG
Molecule: ribosomal RNA, 492 nt
Filed under: uncultured bacterium
Lineage: Bacteria
Description: partial 16S ribosomal RNA
Rfam family: Bacterial small subunit ribosomal RNA
Source: RNAcentral